This 263-nucleotide ribosomal RNA is filed under the name uncultured archaeon. RNAcentral describes it as "partial 16S ribosomal RNA". It matches the Rfam family "Archaeal small subunit ribosomal RNA", at positions 748 to 1009 of the family's 1478-position model. The record is from RNAcentral.
UAGCCGUAAACGAUACUCGCUAGGUGUCGGCCACGGUGCGACCGUUGUCGGUGCCGUAGGGAAGCCGUGAAGCGAGCCACCUGGGAAGUACGGCCGCAAGGCUGAAACUUAAAGGAAUUGGCGGGGGAGCACCACAACGGGUGGAGCUUGCGGGUUUAAUUUGGAUUCAACGCCGGAAAUCUUACCGGGACCGACAGCAACAUGAAGGCCAGGCUGAAGACUUUGCCGGAUUAGCUGAGAGGUGGUGCAUGGCGUAGUCGUGU